UACGGAGGGAGCUAGCGUUGUUCGGAAUUACUGGGCGUAAAGCGCACGUAGGCGGACUAUUAAGUCAGGGGUGAAAUCCCGGGGCUCAACCCCGGAACUGCCUUUGAUACUGGUAGUCUCGAGUCCGGAAGAGGUGAGUGGAAUUCCGAGUGUAGAGGUGAAAUUCGUAGAUAUUCGGAGGAACACAGUGGCGAAGGCGGGUCUCUGGGCCGAUACUGACGCUGAGGAGCGAAAGCGUGGGGAGCGAACAGG
This 252-nucleotide ribosomal RNA is filed under the name uncultured bacterium. Its description in RNAcentral is "partial 16S ribosomal RNA". It matches the Rfam family "Bacterial small subunit ribosomal RNA", at positions 524 to 776 of the family's 1533-position model. The record is from RNAcentral.